AGAGUUUGAUCCUGGCUCAGGAUGAACGCUGGCGGCGUGCCUAACACAUGCAAGUCGAGCGAGAAAUUGCAGAUUGAAACUUCGGUCGAAAGAAGCGAUGGACAGCGGCGGACGGGUGAGUAACGCGUAGGUAACCUACCUUAAGCUGAGGGAUAGCCUAGGGAAACCUGGAUUAAUACCACAUAAAGCGUGAUGGUCACAUGGCCAACAUGCCAAAGAUUUAUCGGCCUAAGAUGGACCUGCGUCUGAUUAGAUAGUUGGUGAGGUAACGGCCCACCAAGUCGACGAUCAGUAGCCGAUCUGAGAGGAUAAUCGGCCACAUUGGAACUGAGACACGGUCCAAACUCCUACGGGAGGCAGCAGUGGGGAAUAUUGCACAAUGGGCGCAAGCCUGAUGCAGCAACGCCGCGUGAGCGAAGAAGGUCUUCGGAUCGUAAAGCUCUGUCCUUGGGGAAGAAGAAAGUGACGGUACCCGAGGAGGAAGCCCCGGCUAACUACGUGCCAGCAGCCGCGGUAAUACGUAGGGGGCAAGCGUUAUCCGGAAUUAUUGGGCGUAAAGAGUGCGUAGGUGGUUACCUAAGCAGGGGGUGAAAGGCACUGGCUUAACCAAUGUCAGCCCCCUGAACUGGGCUACUUGAGUGCAGGAGAGGAAAGUGGAAUUCCUAGUGUAGCGGUGAAAUGCGUAGAUAUUAGGAGGAACACCAGUGGCGAAGGCGACUUUCUGGACUGUUACUGACACUGAGGCACGAAAGUGUGGGGAGCAAACAGGAUUAGAUACCCUGGUAGUCCACACCGUAAACGAUGAGCACUAGGUGUCGGGGGAGCAAUCCUUCGGUGCCGCAGUUAACGCAUUAAGUGCUCCGCCUGGGGAGUACGUACGCAAGUAUGAAACUCAAAGGAAUUGACGGGGACCCGCACAAGCAGUGGAGUAUGUGGUUUAAUUCGAAGCAACGCGAAGAACCUUACCAGGGCUUGACAUAUACCGGAAAGCUCAAGAGAUUGAGCCCUCCUUCGGGACUGGUAUACAGGUGGUGCAUGGUUGUCGUCAGCUCGUGUCGUGAGAUGUUGGGUUAAGUCCCGCAACGAGCGCAACCCCUAUCGUUAGUUGCUAGCAGGUAAAGCUGAGAACUCUAGCGAGACUGCCGGUGAUAAAUCGGAGGAAGGUGGGGAUGACGUCAAAUCAUCAUGCCCUUUAUGUCCUGGGCUACACACGUACUACAAUGGCUGUUACAAAGGGAAGCAAUAUAGUGAUAUGGAGCAAAACCCUAAAAGCAGUCUCAGUUCGGAUUGAAGUCUGAAAUUCGACUUCAUGAAGCCGGAAUUGCUAGUAAUGGCAGGUCAGCAUACUGCCGUGAAUACGUUCCCGGGCCUUGUACACACCGCCCGUCACACCAUGAGAGUUGGAAAUACCCGAAGCCUGUGAGCUAACUGUAAAGAGGCAGCAGUCGAAGGUAGAGCCAAUGAUUGGGGUGAAGUCGUAACAAGGUAGCC
This 1491-nucleotide ribosomal RNA is filed under the name uncultured rumen bacterium. RNAcentral's name for it is "partial 16S rRNA". It matches the Rfam family "Bacterial small subunit ribosomal RNA". The record is from RNAcentral.